Molecule: ribosomal RNA, 434 nt
Filed under: uncultured bacterium
Lineage: Bacteria
Description: bacterial SSU rRNA
Rfam family: Bacterial small subunit ribosomal RNA
Source: RNAcentral
AACGAACGCUGGCGGCAGGCCUAACACAUGCAAGUCGAACGCUUCAGCAAUGAAGAGUGGCAGACGGGUGAGUAACGCGUGGGAACCUUCCCAGUGGUACGGAAUAGCCCAGGGAAACUUGGGGUAAUACCGUAUAAGCCCUUCGGGGGAAAGAGUUUAUCGCCAUUGGAUGGGCCCGCGUCGGAUUAGCUUGUUGGUGAGGUAAAAGCUCACCAAGGCGACGAUCCGUAGCUGGUCUGAGAGGAUGAUCAGCCACACUGGGACUGAGACACGGCCCAGACUCCUACGGGAGGCAGCAGUGGGGAAUAUUGGACAAUGGGCGCAAGCCUGAUCCAGCCAUGCCGCGUGAGUGACGAAGGCCUUAGGGUUGUAAGGCUCUUUUGGCGGGGACGAUAAUGACGGUACCCGCAGAAUAAGCUCCGGCUAACUUCGUG